Meriones unguiculatus (Mongolian gerbil) is the source of this 7173-nucleotide long non-coding RNA. RefSeq lists it as uncharacterized. NCBI's taxonomy places the organism in Eukaryota, Metazoa, Chordata, Mammalia, Rodentia, Muridae. The transcript is spliced from 3 exons. The record is from RefSeq and is a predicted model, not a curated record.
UCUUCCUCUGAACUUGUCCAGCUUCUAUAGUCAAAGAUGAGUAUAAAUCAUUUAUUCUCUCAUUUAUUUAUCUUUAAAAACACAUAUUGAGUUCAAGUAAACCUCAGCUCAAUUUUGGGAUGCCAAAAUGAAGAAUAGGAAUCUCUGACCGCAAAGUCCACUGUUAGGGAGAGUGAAGACAGCUGACUAAUGUAUGUCCUUGCAGAAAUACGUUUUGUUCAAGACUGUGGUGGCCUCCGUGCAAGUCUGUGGUUAUGAAAGAUUCUUUUGUGAUAUUACUAUCAACCAAUUAUGCCUGUGUAGGAACCUUUUCUUCAUAUGUGUGGUCUCUCUCCCUUUCUGUGUAUAUAUUCUUGAAUGUGUGCAUAUGUGAAAGAUACCAAUAGCUAUCUAGAACAAGAAAGCACAUGCUUAGCAUGUGUAUUAUGUAAUGGAGUGAGGGGGCAUGAAGAAAGGGAUUUCUAUUCCAUUUAAAGAUACUAAAGAGGAAUUAAAAAAAAACAAUAAGAAGGAGGAAUAUGGAAGUUGUCAGAAUCAAAAUGGAGUUGCUAAUGCCAGUGCCACCAUUUUUUCAUCACCACCAAAGCAAAGCAAAGCAAAGCAAAGCAAAGCAAAGCAAAGCAAACCAAACCAAACCAAACCAAACCAAACCAAACAGCAACAACAGACCCCCAAGUGUCUGGGGACAUGAUUCAGUGAGUAAAGUGCUUUCCAGGCAGGCACAAGGCCCUGAGUGCAGAUUCACUGCGCCCAUGUAUAAAGCUGGGUGCACCUGCAUGUGUCUGUACUCGGAAUUGUGGAGAGCAGAGACAGGCAGAUAGUUGAAGCUGUAUGGCCAGCCUCGCUGCAUCCAUAAACAGCAGGAGAGAUGUUAAAAAAAAAAAAAGCUGAAGACACAUGACAUUGCUUGCUGCCUGGCUUCCACAUACAUGCACACACAUACCCCACAUAUAAUGGAAGGGUUUCUACAUAGUCGUAAUUGCUUGAUAGUAAUAUCACAAAAGAAUCUUUCAUAACCACAAAGUUGCACAGAGGCCACCACAGCCUUGAACAAAAAGUACUUCUUCAAAGACGCCUGCGCAGGCACUGUCUGUUCAAGUCAGACUGACGCCACUCUCGUCAAUCAUUAUGGUCAAGAAUUAUAGCUUCAAACUAUCUGAUACCGCCUUCUUCAUUUGCCCCUUGCCUCAACCCCUUUGAAUAACUCAUAGCUUUCUGCAGCAUGCAUGCUCUCAUUGUAGCGGUCAAUCUGCUACUCCCCAGUCAAAACCAUUCUCUGGGGAAUGUCUGCCCAAUACAGACAUCUUUAGAUUCACGUAAAUCUUAAAGGAUGCAUUGCAGAAGAACUAGGAGGGCACUUCAGAAUUCAAAGAAAGCUUACAUUGAAAGGUGAUAAUGAAGCAGCAAGAAUGCAAAUACGUAAGUACAGUAGCUUGUGGGUGGCAGCCUUGCAGGGCAGGAGCUGACUAUGAGAGGCAAGUGGAGCCCAGGUCUACAGAGAUUUGAGGCACCAUGCCCCAAAGAAUACAGACUUGAUUCUGAAAGCAGUAGAACAGCAGUGGAAGCAUUUGGGUGAAUGAAACGCUUUCCACUGUUUGUGGUUCUAGAAUGCUUACGCUGGGAUCCAGGCGGAGCCCAGGGAACAAUGUCCUGAGUUAGAACAGCCGCUAAGGCAGUGGGGAAGAUGGAGCUGAGAGCUGCCCAAUGGCCAGCUCAAACAGAGCUUGCUAGCCCAAUCCACUCGAGGCUGCUCCAGUGGGAGGUGGAUGCUGUGACUCCAGUGGGGGUUUGAUGGUCUUGGAUCCUCAGGAGAAAUCAUGAUCCAGAGAGUGUUGAGGAGGAAGAAUGGUUUGAAAUUGAAUUUGUUUAACCCACUCAAGACAGUCCCUUAAAAACAUUCUUCUUUCAACUAUUACUUUUAAAAACACUUCAAAAACUUUUACAACAAGAGUAUCUUCAAUAAGUUUCUUUUUAUAACAAGCUCAAUCAAAGUUAUUGUGGGUUCUGCAGAACACUGGGGACCCUGGGACUCUGAAGGAUGUAGGCAGGCAGAGGUCCUGGCCAUGCAGUGCUGCCUUAGCCAAGACACUGCCAUCUUAAUUUCUUCUGACACUGGUAAUAGAUUCGUUUGGAAUUCUGGAAGUGACUUUGGAGCUUGGGCUGGGGCAGGCAUGUAUGAGGCCUGGGGUUUGAGCAUCUGCAUCCAGAGAAAGAGGAGGCACAUGACUCUGAAGCUUUCCAUCUUCAAACCCCCCAGAUUGAAUCUCAGUCACUCAGUCACUCACACGAUUUGUCACUGUCUGGAACGCAGUUCUGUGUUUUGGGGCAUUUGUUUUAUUCUGUUUUUGUUUUGUUCAAGUUUUUGUUUCUAGCUCAGAAAGUGGCGAUCAUAUUGGGAGCUUCCUUUGUAAUUCUACUGUACUUAUCUGAUUCUUUUUAAUUACAGAUGAAGUUGUUUUUUGAUAUGAGAAAUAUGCAAACAUCUCAGGCCAUAACGGUCCCUGUUUCUCUUAACAAUGGCAUUCAAAUAAAACAUGUGUCACCAGAACAGGCUGCAGGGUCCCUUCUGCAUGACCUCCCCCUCCCUGCUCAGCCAAUGAAAGCCAGCUAAGCCACAAAUCGGCCGACAAUUAACACAUGCUGUGUGUUUGCGUUUUUCAAAUAUUUUCCAACUCCCAUCGUGUGCUUUUGUGUUCAAGCCCUGCCAAAACCUCCUUCGGGGCCAUUCCUUCUAGGGUUCCACCCCACCAAAGCCUCCUCCAGUGCCAUUCCUUCCUGGCUUCCCAAGUCCUUUGGACAACAAACAAAAAAAAACUUCCCAUAGGAAGAGAAAACACAAGCUACACAGGGCUUAACGCAACUUUCUCAAGUUUCUGCUCCUGCAAGCACUGUUUCUUAAAUGUGUUAUGCUUGUAUCCCUUUGAUUGAACACUUUAGCUUUUCAGUGUGCCUGUUACCUGGAUGAACAGCCAGAGGACUUCUGGGAGGGACUGAGCUGAGCACUCUGUGAAUCCUGCUGGUAACAGGUGCGCCUAUUCUGCUGGCACACAGCAUUCCCCGCUGGUCUCAGGACUCAGAAGGCCCAGAGAAGAAUGCCCAUAAAGAAGGCUUUUAUUGUGGCUUCAAGAUGGAAAAUUUGGGCUAACCCAUAAAAUUACAGAAAAAAAAAAAUGCACUCUUUACCUUGAAGAAGGGAAGCCAUUUUUAAUGGUCCAGCGAUAAGGAUCUUGAACAUUGGCCGCAGAUAGAAAGACUGUGAAGCUCAAUAAUUUACAACAUUUCUACAAGAAGCUGACCAGACUAGACCCAGAUGCUCUGAGCUUCGGUCCCUGGCAAGUAGAACAUGAUCUUGAGUGGUUCAUCUCAUAGUUUACAACUCCAUCAACACUGCAUGAUGUAUUCACGUUGAAACUGUAGAUUCUGCUCUGCACUGCACCCAGAAAGUGAACUACAGUUAGCUGGUCAUGGCUGCUCUCCCCUCAACCACGUGUCUGCUGGCGUCUGAAGGCCGAAGAUCUGUACUUGGAGCACUUGAGGUUCUUGGCGUGCUGUCUUCUGGCACUCAUCUGGCAUCACUGAUGCCCGACUUCUUCUCUUGAGUGUUUAUAGGUUAUGAUGGCUGUUUCACCUAGACUGCAGGAUUAAUGUUGGUUUUGGUUCAGUUUAUUCUCACCUCUGUGGCUGGUGGCCAGCAUCAAAGUAGUCCUGGUCCUUCCUGACGGGUGUCUGAAGGUCUACAGGUUCCUGUCCUCUGGGAGAGGAGUUCUGAAAUUCAAUCCUUGACAGGAGUUUAUUGGUUAGGUCCAUGGAUGUAGCUAUGCUAAUCCCUAGAUUGCUGUGGUGGUUCCAGUUUUGGAUCCACUUUCCGCCAUGACUAGAUUCACACAGCUGAGUGCUCUAGAACAAAGGAACACAGUAGAUUCUGUGUCUAUCUGAUUCUGGCUGGAGAGGAGCACUGGACUCCUGCUACCCACAGCUUACUAGCACUCUAGAAAUACAAAUGCCAUGCUUCAACCUGACCAGUCAGUAACUCCACCACCAUGUUCUAUGGCUGGUGAGGCUGGUAGAGAGAACAGAUUCUCUGUCAAUGCACAAAGCCUUAGGAUAGAAACACAGCAGUGUGCCUACACAAUGUAGGUGGUUCUCAUCAGGCUCUACCUCCAAGAGCAGGGGUGCUCAAUCUGUGGGCCUUGACCCUUUUGGGCGGUCGAACAACCCUUUCACAGGAGUGGCCUAAGACCAUCAGAAAACACGCAUAAUUAUAUUACAAUUCAUAACAGUAGCAAGCUUUCACUUGAUGUAGCAACAAAAAUAGUUUUAGGGUUUGGGGGGGUCACCACACCAUGAGGAGCUUAUUAAAGGGUAGCAGUGUUAGGAAGGUUGAGGAGCACAGGCCUACAGCUAAGGAGUACCUAUGAAGUAGCGUGAUCUCCACUCUCUCAAGUACUUGUCUGGUGUCUGACCUUUAAACGUGCAAAGCCUUCAUAAAACAUGCAAAGCCUUCUUAGGAACACCUGCCAUAGAGCUUACGAACUUGGUUUGUACAGGUCCUCUUAGCAGGCAAUGGCAAACAUUUUAUCAGAAAUCUAGAUAAGAGAUACAUCCUCUCUGGGCCUGAUGUUUGUAGAGCGAAAAGUGUCAGAACAUGAAAAUGAGCUGCCAUGCUUGUGUUCCUAUACAUCUUCUUCAUAAACAAGUCCACGAACCAUAACUUGUAGACACUAGACAUGUGACAAUACUCCUGUAGGCUGCUCUUGAGGAAUAUCCUUGUUACACUUGAGUAGAGUCGAAACAGCUGACAGGGCUAACUAAGCAGGGGAAAGAAUGUCAGUGACUCUAACUGUGGGCAUUCCUGCCUGGGGCAAUCAGAGACCUCCAAUUCUUUCUGGGAUUUAUCUCAUUUCUCUGUGUGAAGCACCUUGAUUCCCUGCUCCACCUUUUAAAACUCUGUGUAAGGACUGCUUUCUCUUUGAGGCUCUUAUUGUGUUAGACCCAAGAAAGAUUGGCUCUCUUAACUAUGUGUUACCUUUAAGUUCCAUGAGAGCGUACCACUAUCACAGCACCAUGUCUGGCUCGUGGUAAGUGUCCAUUUAUGACCUGAUGUUUUGUACUUGUUCAGAAUUGCACUGAAAUUCUCCUUGGUCGUGGCACUCUAGUGAGUGAGCAGUUCCUUUUGACCAUGGCAUUUAGCUUGUUACAGCUACCCUGGAGGUCUGACGUCUCUGCCUUGUAAUAAUACAGAAACCCAAGGCCUCCACUUUCAAUGGACUCUGAAUUUCAGUCCACUGAGUCCUAAGUCCCAUUAUGAAUGUGUAGAGCUUUAAUCUUUUAUAGGUCAAGCAGUUAGAAACCAUAGAACGGACAAUCUCGAGAAGCCAAGCGUGAAGACAGAACACUCUCGAAGUCUAUGGCCACUGGCUCUGUUUACACAUGACAAGGCGAUCCAACAGGACCGUAGAGAUGCUUACAUACUCCAGGGUCCUGUCAGCUACACGCUGUCUCUGGAAACAGUCCCAAGAAGGGCCAAGUGCCGGCAGAGCUGGCUGUGGGGAAGCAGGAAGUUGGAGACAUCAGUCAGACCUCAGGCCAUUUCCACCUCCCUGUGGUCAGUCCAGGCAGCCCACAUUUUGAGGAGGAUGUAGAAACGAGACAUUCUAGUGUGCCAGCUGACUCCAGCGAGGCAAAGGAGAACCUGUGCACGUCUUGUUAUAAUCUGUGGCCUGGCAGCUUCACAGCCAUGACAGCCCAUCUUGUUCCCUAACCCCCUGGGUGUUCGUUUGAUGACUGGAACGCUGGCCUCAACAUAAAACACUACAGUAAGUGCACCAGCCAACGCGUGGAAUCAUGGGAGUCUGGCUUUUAGUUUUGCGAGAAAUGUCUGGUAUGCCUGUGCACGUGGAGAAAAAACGUCAGCCCAGCCUUCUGUCCUGGCAAGUCACGGAAGAUGGAGUGGAGUUUGUGAGGCCUGACACUUGAAUGGGUACAGCUAAGGAGAGGGACGGCAGCAGGAGCAGCGGAAGAACUGUUUUUUUGUUUUGUUUUGUUUUGUCAAGAUUUUAGUAAGCAAAUAUUUUAAUUGCAUGAGCACUGCAGAAAUACAAAGUGCUGACCAGGUUCAUGGAUGAAAUUCUUACGAAGACUUAGAGGUUUCGAGACCAUCAAGUUAGAAUUGGUUGUCGUGAUUGUCUUAUUAAACAAUUUCGAGUUACUUUUAAGUUAGCGUACAAAAUAAUGAGCUUCAUGAUGAACUCGCUCCUCUUAUUAUGUCCUGAGGACACCCGCUGACCACCUUUUCCUCUGCGCUAAUGGGGCUAAUGUCUUUGCAAAGUCAACAGAACCAGAGCUGAGCUCGCGCGUAGCCGUGCUCUUGUGGUGAUUUAAGUAGCCUCCUGUUUUUCACUCCACAGCUUGCUUCUCCUUAGGUUUUGGAAAUUACCUUUUAUGGGAGUGUUUGUAUUUCUUAGAUAAGUGGUUUAAGUAGAAUGUCUAUUAAAUCAUCAUUUCAACUAGAAAGCAGACUCAUGUUGGAUGAUGAUGAUGUGAUUGCAAAGGACAAUGUGAAUAUGCAAGUGUAUUUAUAGCCAAUAAAUUGGAAAAACUGAAGGACAAACAGGAAGUUUCUGACUUGGAAAUUAUUUUAUUCUUCUAAAAAUAUUUCAUGUUCUACCAAACUUUAUUACAAUGAAGUGGAUGCAAUAUAUUCAAAACCUUGUUCCGAUACUGACAAACAACUCAUUUUCAGGGCUUCUGUUUUGCUGGCUAUUAAAUGAAGGGACCAUUUUCUGGAGGAAAUAGUUUCAAAUGGCAAGGAUGGCUAAAGUAUUGUGUUUCCUACAAUCCUGCAUGUCAUGUUUUUGCUCUGGUACAUGAUUUGGUGGAAUCUAAUUGUACAUUGUGGAGAGCUGAGAUUCAGACGCCAUCUAAUGGCGCUGACAUCCGCCCUCAGAACUGUAAAGAACCUCUAGAGCGCAUGUGCGAGUUGCGAAAGCACGCCAAGCCACUGCCCGAGCCCGGGCAGUCAGACGGGGUGAUGAGUGAGCAGCCAAUCAGGGUAUGACACGUCACUUCACGUCACUUCACAUCACUUAGGUGCGACCAGGGCUUAUAUAAACAGCGCCACUUCGGGGCUCAGCGUCUUCCUCCUUUCAUAUAAUAAAGCCUGCUGCAGAAGGA